Molecule: long non-coding RNA, 1748 nt
Organism: Anolis carolinensis (green anole)
Lineage: Eukaryota; Metazoa; Chordata; Lepidosauria; Squamata; Anolidae
Source: Ensembl
AGUUGGGUUUCGCUUCUUGUUCUCUAGGGAAAGAGACUUGUUGGCGGGAAAACGAGACCCAAUAUAGGUGUUUGGCGCGGGAGAUUCUUUGCGGAGUCAAUUGAUCACCUUCAGGAGAGAGAUCGUGUGUGGACUUCGUAACCCCAGUUCCUUGCUUCCCGGAUCGAGUUUCAAGCCUUGCCUUGCCUUGCUGUUUAACCACGGACCCUGCUCCAUGCUUCACGUUUUGCCUUGUCUCCAGUCACGGACCUAGCCAAGAACCAAGUUUAUUUCCAGCCUUGUUGUCAAGCUUCAUUGGACUUUAAGACUCUGACAUUUCCCCACACUAUUGCUAGGCAAGAGUGUGUGUUUCGGUCAAGUGGAUUAAAACUUUGAACUCUAAUAUCAUUUAUUGGACAAUACAUUUUUGGACUAUAUUUGACCUCUUUUGAAAGGUCUGUUUCUGAACUAUAUUCUUCACUUGUUUUUAUUGAUUUUAUAUAUUUCUUUAAUAAAGAUAUUAGAUAGAGACUGGCCUCUGUGUAAGGUUAUUGGUGCCCAGCAGCCAGGGUUCUGACAGUUCUGCAUACAAGUUGAAUAGGUCCUACCCACUUCUGGAAUGUGGCCCCUGCAACCUGACUAUUCUUAAGUUGGAAUUCAGCCCCAAGCCCCAAACUGAAGAUUUCACACAUGAUGUUCAGGUUUGUUCUUCAGUUCAUUCUGUCAGUUUCAUGGCUUGCUGUGACCUCACCUCUGACUCCCAAAGGAAAAUGCUCAAGGCAUUGUCAUGCUUCAGCCUGCUUGUUCUAAUUCUAAUCUGGAAACUGUUGUGUUUAUACAUACUGUAUGCCUUCCUAGAGUGAUCCUGUGUCCUGCUUUGGGAGAUUAUCAAUGAGGCUUGGGCCACACAUUCACAGCUGCUUAAUACUGAGGUUUAAUGCCACUUUUUAUGGAAUACCGUUUCAAAAGCAGUGGCUUUUCAUUUUCCCUCUGUUGUUUGGCAUAUCUUUGAAUUCACGGGGAAAACCCUGAAAGCACCUGAAAGUGCUUCCUUCCAAUGUUGACACUGGUGUGAUAAGUCACUAGUGCUGCUGAAGUGAGAUUGGAAGAAUCAAUGGGGUGAUUUUCCAAUCUACUUCCCAGUUCCCAAGCUGUUGCCAUUCAACUAGCAGCAAGCCAGAUGGAGAGGCAAAUUCCCAUCCUCUGGAAAACAAGCCUACUUUUGAGUCAUCAUGUACGUAUUCCCCCUCUCUCUGAGAAUCUCGGCUGCUUGUUUUGGAACAGCUCCAACAUUUCACAUUUGGCCCAGCUUAUUGUAACCAAAGCACCUUGACAGGGAAGCAAGUUCAAAGAAAACCUUUAAUGCUAUGUCACUGUUUUGUUUGCGAAUUGCAGCAUUAAACUAUUUGGCAGGAUUUUAAUUUGGCAUCCAAUGAGUGGGCGGUGGAGGGGGUGGAAUCGCCUGUCUAGUACGCUUGCAACAGGAUAUAUUCCCAUCAAAGUACACAUAGAGAUGAUGGUGAGAAAUGUUCAUCAACAAAUGCACUAGGAAACGGUGUCUCUUAAGCCACUAACUACCACUCUGAAUUUGGUUUCACUUGACAAUGAUACCAGCAAAGUUUUAUUGUACAGCUUUACUCAAACAAGAGUUUUGUACUUCUGCUCUGUAUUGAAUAACAAAAUUGCAUAUAUUACCCAAGAUAGGAACUCUUGCAUUGCAACAAUCCCUCCAAAAGACAGAGCCAAGAAUUCUAUAGGGUUGGCCAAAA